AUGGUCCUCCUCCGUUACGGCGUCAUGUAUCUCAUCGAGCACCCACCCCCACCCAACGCCACCAGCCAGUACCUCGAGCUCGACACCCACGUCGCCCUCGCCAUGUAUGCCACCCUCUCUGAUCAGAUCGUAGAUCACGUGAUCGGCGCCACCACCACCUUCGAUCUCUGGUCUCGGAUCCGGGAUUAUUUCCUCGCAAAUUGCGCGGCCCGGUACAUGAUACUCAAUCGUCAGUACCGCAACCUCAAGCAGGGCGACCUCUCCGUUGACGAGUACGCACGCCGCAUGAAGCUCCUCACCGCUGGCCUCGCCGACAUCGACCAUGCUGUCUUUGAGGUGGAUCUGACCACGCAGUUCCUUCACGGCAUCGACGGCCGCCUCGACAUGAUCCGAGUCGUGCUGGGGGACACGGUUCCCCUGCCCCCUUUUGAGACCGUGUUCUCGCGC
Molecule: ribosomal RNA, 447 nt
Filed under: Triticum aestivum (bread wheat)
Lineage: Eukaryota; Viridiplantae; Streptophyta; Magnoliopsida; Poales; Poaceae
Description: partial small subunit ribosomal RNA
Source: RNAcentral